This 6353-nucleotide long non-coding RNA is filed under the name Taeniopygia guttata (zebra finch). RNAcentral describes it as "lncRNA (ENSTGUG00000020660.1)". The record is from RNAcentral. Lineage: Eukaryota; Metazoa; Chordata; Aves; Passeriformes; Estrildidae.
CCUCUGAAAUUGUAAAACCCACAUAAAUAUGAUAAAGGGGUUCAUAAGUCUAGAUUAUUCUUUUUCUGGUAGUAUAGAGUAGCAUUUCCAUCAGUUCUCUUGAAAUAAUAUAUCCUAAUGACAAAAAUAGGGAAAAGAGUGUUUUAAACUUUAAAAUUAAUUAAUUUUAAGAUAACUUUAGGUUAAUGGUAGGUCCUUUCUUAACAUACAAUGAGAAAAAAAUCCAACUAGCGAGUUGUUUCUGUCCCACAGCAUUAACCCUGCUGUCAAUAAUUAGUAAGAAUUUAAAUAUAGCGACUAAUACUAGAAAAAGCCAAAUUAGAUCAGCUAAAGUUUAAUAGUAGUUAAAUUUUUUUCUAAAUGUUGUAUGUAUACAUUUAUUUAUGUUCCUAAUUUUUUUUUUUGUAUAGAUUUUGCUACUCUUAAUUGAAAAUGUGGAGAGUCCACCUCGACUAAUGACAAAAUGCUGCAGCACAGGAACAAUGUUUUCUGAGCUUGUCAUUUAAUGACACUUUGAACAGCUCAAGUCAAUGCUCCUAAAGUUGAAAUUCUGGACCAGCUAAAUAAAACAAGCAUUUUCUCUGCACGCCCUAUUACUAACUCUCUUCAGUCUUUGCUUAGAGUUUCUUUGUAAUCAGUUAAUCUGCCUCAAACUAAAAAAGUGGAGAGAAUGCAAAAGAACACAAACUGUAGCUGCACUGGUCUGGCUCAGAGUUCCUGAGUUUGCAGCAAUGAAAUUUCUCUUUUCUUUCCUAUACACUGAAGCUGUAUUUGCUUCUGGGUAAGAAUCUGCUGUUAAAUGUUAAAUAUGAAUCAGUCUUUUGUAAGGCUGCACUAGAGAUGGAGAGGUUAGUUUACUGGCUAUUCUAUAACAAGGAAGUAAUGUAAACAUAUAAUAACUAUUUCCAUUUCCCUUGCAUGUGUUUUCCUGGGCUAACUGUGCUUAUUUUGUGUUUAUUUAAUGAAAAGUAUACCAAUAAAUUAUUGAUUCAGCUGACAGGAAGAAAAAGACAAUGCAAUGGGAAAUAUUAUCAAAUAAGGCCUCUAAAUAGACUGGGUAAUUUAGACGGGAAAUCCUAAAUCAACUGCUAGAUAAUGUAGUAAGUAAACAUAUUAACCUGUAAGUAAACAUAUCAACCAGUAAGUAAACACAUAAACCAGACACAAAUUUUGUCAUAAAUUAUGUUUGUUGAUAUAUCAAAGUCUAGUCAUAGCACCCAAGGAACAGUUAAGGAAACCCAGGAAAUAAAGAUAAUGGAUAAUUUUAUGGAGUUUAUAAAUUGCAGCUUCUAAACAUUUAUUUAAAAAAAAAUUUCAGGAGUGCUGGUUUAGAAUCGUCAUUGAAAACCAUUACUGCAGGAAUGCAUGAUUCUGUAUAGUAAACAGAACACAGUCAUUGUCCUGAAAAAGCAUUUCUUGGUGAAAUUUUAUCAUUAUUAGAAGAACUCCAAAUAAAAACCCCUGAAUACGCAUGCAGACAUGGUAAAGUCUAAUCAGAUAUAUUUAUAACAGUUUUGGCAUUUUAGAUAUGGCUGUCUUUACAAACCUUUUUCCUUUACAGCAUGCGUGCAACACAUUCUUUAGUUUUUUUGUUACAUGCAGGUCUUUUUUUUCCUGAAUUUGUCUUAUAAUUAUUCCUUCUAGUAAAGCCAUAUAUGAGAAUAUAAUUAGUCCAUCCCUUUUCUGUGGCAUCUUGCUCCUAACACCCUGAGAUAAGUAAAACCAAACAAAACUGAAACAAGCUUCACCACCCCCCAAACCCACAAAAUUUUACAUCACGUAUCAUCUUCAGACCCAGGAGACAUCAUUGGUGGGAUUUCCCAAAGAUUUGAUGUUAACUGUCUGCUGCCACUGAAAACAUUGAAACCAUUACCUUUGAUAAAAGCAAAGUGAGGCCAAAGCCAAGCCCUUCAAUAAAUCUUUCCCUGACAACUGCAAAGACAUGAAGCAUUUGAAAAUAUGAAUGAUACUUAAACUGUGUACAAACCUACCUGUCUCAUUCUGUAAAGGCCUUGAAGCUAAUUAAACUAAACUAGAACUCAAGAGAACUCAGUCUUUCUGAAAAUUCAUACUGCUUCUUCUAUUCCCCAAAUGCUAAACUAUUACCCAUUUCAGGCAUUGUUAUCCUAGGGGAACCUGCGCAGCUAAGUGAACAGUGAAAGUCAGCAAAUAUGGUAACAAGUGCUUCCAGUGAUGAGCUGAAGGGAUCCUGUACUUGCUAAUUUUGACAUCUGGAAUUUAAACUCUGGAGAACUUUAGUAAGAGUGUUAUCUGGAGUUGACUGAUGAUCUCUUUUUGUUUGUUCAUUUUUGUUUAACAGACAGGUACCAUAGCUGAGGCAAUAUGCCUGGUAUGGGCUUUAUUGAUAAAGCAAUGCUGAAGCCAGAGCCCUCUAACUGAAAAUUACAGAGGCCUACAAGAUAUAUUAGCAUAUAUGAUACUGCCACUUUAUAGAACUGUGUUUCUUCCAGUGUGGUGAUGAGAUGUUUCUGGCAGGCUCUAGUAGGUGAAGCAAUCUCCCCCAUGGGGAUCAGCUUUGUAUGUACAACCAGUGUAUCUCCUGAGUUUAAUUUCCUUAAUCCCAAUUGCCAGCAGGAGUUGUGAUGAUUGAUUUUGAUGGUGCAGUUUUCUACAAAGGUGAUAAAGUAUUAAAAGAAGUUGGUAAACUGAGCCUAGCUGUACUGAUUAAGUGAAUUUCUUCUUAACUCUUGUGAGAAGAAAUCAAAGCUGCUGGAUUGCAAUAUGCUAGUGGAUUCUGAAAGCAUUUUGAUUUACACUUGGUAAAGUCAAACUGCCUCAGUGUUUUGCUAUAGUACCUCUAUAUGCCAGAGACAUGUAUUUGAAGAGCAGGGGAGGUGAGAUUGUUCAGCUAUACUGAGUGCCAUUAAUCUUUAAAAUUUACCUUAAAUUAGGGUACUAAGUUGAUUUUAUAAUUAAACAUACAAUUAUUUUUAUAUGCACAUCUAUACAAAAUAUACAUGUAAUUGAAAAUGUAAAAUAAUAUAAUAUAAUAAAUAUUACCUGACAUAUACUGUAGUAUGCUAUUGUAAUAUAUGUUGCAUAUGACAUAUUGUACUUGGAUACAGAAUAAGAUAUAUGCUAAAAAGUUAUGUUCUUGAUUUAAGGUUUCUCUGGCUUCUUAACUGAAAGUUUGUCUUAGAAAGGAAAUUAAUGGGCUCACAGCUUCAAGCCCACCUCUGCAGCUUUGUCUGCUUCUUUGUUUCCCUUUAAACACCUUAUCUACAGCUAUGUAUGCAGCUAGAUUAUGAAAAAGAAAUUUGCUAUUAUCACUGUUGCCUUGUAAUGCAGAGGUAAUACCUCUGUUGCUUCAGCAUGAAGCAACCAGCUUUCAGUCAGCUGUGCUUGUUAGUCCAGUGUAACACUCCUCAUUAUGUGGGGAACACAUAGACAUGCUCUCAAUCACUGACUAAAAACGUUGCCAGGUUUGACCAUUGCACUGUGAGAUGCAUAAGAAGAAUGAAUCCUAUCCUUAUUAAAUCUAAGGGGAAAAGACACACCAAACCUCUCACUGAAUUAUUUAGGCUUAAAUUUUCAAAGCACAAGAUACAGAAUAAUUAUCCUUUUGUCCUUGGAGAAGGUUGUUGAAAUGUAGAGUUCAGAGACAUUCAUAAGACAUAUCAACAUAUGAAAAGACCUGUAGUGUUUACCCUUGAAAUGAUACAUAUUCUCAGGACAAAUGUAAUACAACUACCAUAGCUGGAAAAUCAGUAUAUUUCUUGAGAGCUUGCAUCUAAAUCUAUAAGUGAACAUCACAGCAUUGAAAGUUGCAGUCCCUUUGUCUUGUGCAGGACUUCUAAAAUUGUUGGGUGAAAUCGUGUCAGAUUCCUGCAUUCUGUGUGGUCAGAGGAAGGCAGCACUAGGAGUUACAGUCAGCACGCUCUAAGGUUUUGGCUUGCCUACACCUAACCAGUGCUGAUGGUAAUUCCAGCUCUGCUCUGGCACUUAACAUUAUAAUAGGGAUGUCUCCUCUCUUCAGGACACGUGGCAGAAAUGUCUUUUUAAGAGUAAGAGCUGAUUGACAAACUUGAAAUCAAUGGUCUUUUACCUGUGUUUUCUGAGUAUCUACCACCUGUUGGAGUUGCAGCUGCCAGUAAUUUAUCAGCACCAGAGAAAUGAAAAAAGCCUUUGAGUUCCACCCAGUGGAAAAGAAGAUGUGAUCCUCAGCUUCAGAACCUUAGGUCCUUUACCCAGGACAGGGGGUGAUCUAAGUUUUUGGUUUUGGCUCCAAUAAUUCUUCAUGAACUUUCUUCACUGAUUGUUUCUUAUAAAAUGCAGAAAUUGUCAAAGCAGAUCUUAGAUGUUUCUCUAAGGCCAGCUAGGCUUCCUGACUAUAUUCCUUCUGUCUUCUUGGGGCGAUGGAGAAACAUCACAAUUUUGCUACUUCAUCUGGUGCAGAUGUGACAUAGGUGCUGAUAUGCUUCACAUACGCCUUCAGAAGAAAGCUGAAAGAUUUGUUUCAGAUUUUCAUUUUAGACUUGGACAUACUUUAUUCAAGUUAGAGGCCUGAAAUAAUUGAUUAUUUUUUUUUUUAAUGGGUAUAUCAGUAUUUGAUUUGAUGCACAUCAGCUGGAUUUAGCCAGCAUCACAGAAUAUGGAUGAAAUGUCAGAGAACUGAAAAAUGAGACAAACACAAUCUCAUAGCUGAAAGCUGAAGUAAACAAAACCAGUUAAUUAUAAGGAUUGGUUCAUUUAUGAAGAAGAUAACUGAAGAGUGUGCUUCAGUUUCAGAUUUAAGAAGAGAAAUUUUUCCAGAAUGUAUAUGUAGCUAAGUUACCAGAUUGAAGGACAAGAACUGAAAGAUGAAUUUCCACAGCUAAGAUUAAUUUAAACUUUUAUGGGCAGUGCCCUGCUUAAAUCUAAGACCUUUAUGGUUUUCUGAUAAGACACAGCUUGCUUAUUCUACCUGCAUCUGGGAUGUUUUUUCAGAUCUCUUAUGGUUUUAACUGCAUUGUUGUUAGCCUUUACUCUGGAUGGGUAUGAGUCAGCUCCAAACCAUAAACAAUGUAGCCAUGGUUAGUAAGCCUGGGCUGCUAAGCCUUUGCUAUUAGUGUGGGCACAACAAGUGUGCCUGCUCGGAGCACAACCAAAGCAAGCACAUAUCUGCUUAAAAAAAAAGAAAAAUAAAGUUAAGAUAUCCUCUCUGUUCUUUUCCUGCUUCCUCCCCUGCCUCUCUCUUUCACUCUCCCUUCUGCUUUCUCUCUGUCCCACCCACACACAUCCACAAAAAUACUCACAGAAACCCCACCUAUAUAAGCCCUCCACCCAGACAGUCCAAAUCCCUGAGUGGGAUCUCACAUUGCACACGUUUGUCUGGAGUGGUAAUGCGUGGUGGUAUUUGGUGUGAGGCUUCUUGUGCAGUUCCUAACUAAGAACUUGAACAAAGAGUGGUGGUUAUAUUCAUCCCUUUCAAGAGGGUUUUACUCAACCUAUGAAGUGCUCAUUUUUACCUCAUACAGCUGACUGAGCCCAGAAAAGGGUAAAUCAUGCAGGGGAAGCCACAAUGCUGAGCUCCAAACACUCUUUGGGGAGUUCCCGUUCAGAGGGGACAGACUCACCCUAAGUUUCACUUAGGCCACAAUGGCAGGAUGUCAGUGUCCUGCCUCUCACAGCACAGAGUCUGGCUGCAGAAACAUCAGUAGCAGCCGACGAUACAGCAAUUUUAAGUGACUUAAUAUGUGGCUGCAAGACACCGGUUCAAUGGGCUUUUCUCGUGCGCAAAAUAAGAAACUGGUUACGCUUUCCCAAAAUUUUCUUUUAAUCUCUCUUUUCUUCCACUAGCUAGCCACUAAUUGUGUUUUACAUCAUCUUCUGCCAUUUUUCUGGCACAAGAAACAUGCUGCCACAAGUGAGUAGAAAUUCAACAUUCAUUAAGGUUUGACUGUAUUGCCUGUGUAUCACCUCUCUUGUUUUUUUUUUUUUUUUUCCCCCUAAGAUGACUGCUGUCAAGAAUGAGACUAGCAAUCUUACAGUGGGAAGUCCUCCAUUUUAGACAGAUUAGUACCUGAGACCACACCCACACUGGACAGAAAUUUGCUCUUCCUCACACAUAGACUGAACUGGAAUUACUUGGGAUUUUUUCUCCUAAAUUUGUUCUAAGUUCUUGUGAGUCACUAUAUUACUUGACAGCUGAAUUUAAUGCAUCUGAUUGUUAAAUUCCCUGUCUGCUAAUCUUCAAAGAUCACUUACUGACAAUACCAUGUGCUGUGUGUAAUAGAGUUGCUGCACAUUUAUGUUAAAUAGCUCUGAGUUUUGUUUGUUAAUGCCAGGUAAUUCAGGCUAAACUCUUUUUUGAUAUAACCAAAUAUAAAAUCUAAUCUGUUUUGACUACUUUC